Molecule: ribosomal RNA, 1063 nt
Filed under: Cordyceps javanica
Lineage: Eukaryota; Fungi; Ascomycota; Sordariomycetes; Hypocreales; Cordycipitaceae
Description: SSU rRNA
Rfam family: Eukaryotic small subunit ribosomal RNA
Source: RNAcentral
AUGUCUNAGUAUAAGCAAUUAUACAGCGAAACUGCGAAUGGCUCAUUAUAUAAGUUAUCGUUUAUUUGAUAGUACCUUACUACUUGGAUAACCGUGGUAAUUCUAGAGCUAAUACAUGCUAAAAAUCCCGACUUCGGAAGGGAUGUAUUUAUUAGAUUAAAAACCAAUGCCCUCUGGGCUCCUUGGUGAUUCAUAAUAACUUUUCGAAUCGCAUGGCCUUGCGCCGGCGAUGGUUCAUUCAAAUUUCUUCCCUAUCAACUUUCGAUGUUUGGGUAUUGGCCAAACAUGGUCGCAACGGGUAACGGAGGGUUAGGGCUCGACCCCGGAGAAGGAGCCUGAGAAACGGCUACUACAUCCAAGGAAGGCAGCAGGCGCGCAAAUUACCCAAUCCCGAUUCGGGGAGGUAGUGACAAUAAAUACUGAUACAGGGCUCUUUUGGGUCUUGUAAUUGGAAUGAGUACAAUUUAAAUCCCUUAACGAGGAACAAUUGGAGGGCAAGUCUGGUGCCAGCAGCCGCGGUAAUUCCAGCUCCAAUAGCGUAUAUUAAAGUUGUUGUGGUUAAAAAGCUCGUAGUUGAACCUUGGGCCUGGCUGGCCGGUCCGCCUCACCGCGUGUACUGGUCCGGCCGGGCCUUUCCCUCUGUGGAACCUCAUGCCCUUCACUGGGUGUGGCGGGGAAACAGGACUUUUACUUUGAAAAAAUUAGAGUGCUCCAGGCAGGCCUAUGCUCGAAUACAUUAGCAUGGAAUAAUAAAAUAGGACGUGUGGUUCUAUUUUGUUGGUUUCUAGGACCGCCGUAAUGAUUAAUAGGGACAGUCGGGGGCAUCAGUAUUCAAUUGUCAGAGGUGAAAUUCUUGGAUUUAUUGAAGACUAACUACUGCGAAAGCAUUUGCCAAGGAUGUUUUCAUUAAUCAGGAACGAAAGUUAGGGGAUCGAAGACGAUCAGAUACCGUCGUAGUCUUAACCAUAAACUAUGCCGACUAGGGAUCGGACGAUGUUAUUUUUUGACGCGUUCGGCACCUUACGAGAAAUCAAAGUGCUUGGGCUCCAGGGGGAGUANNGNC